Molecule: RNA transcript, 4229 nt
Organism: Chlorocebus sabaeus (green monkey)
Lineage: Eukaryota; Metazoa; Chordata; Mammalia; Primates; Cercopithecidae
Gene: DCUN1D4
Gene name: defective in cullin neddylation 1 domain containing 4
Source: RefSeq, a predicted model, not a curated record
CGCUGCUCCGGAGCGUGGCCUCCGCCUGGGGCGUUACGAAGACAAGGCCCCAGGACCAAUCGUAUUGGCCCGUGGGGGGCGGGGCCUCGCUGCGAGCUCCAGACCGGCGCUACCGGCACUCCUUUUGUCAUAUGAGAGACGCGGUGGGGCGGCCCCUCAGCCGCGGUUUAGCCAAUGGAGAAGGCGAGAUGGGCGGGCUGGGAGUGCCUGGCGGCGGGUCCUCAGCUGCGAGCCGAGGUGCAGUGAGCUGGUGGGGGGGACCGCGAGGCGAGCGCGGAAUCCUGGGCGGCGAGCGGGGUGUGAGCUGCUUGAAAAUGCACUCGGAUGCCGCCGCUGUCAAUUUUCAGCUGAACUCUCAUCUCUCAACACUGGCAAAUAUUCAUAAGAUCUACCACACCCUUAAUAAGCUGAACCUAACAGAAGACAUUGGCCAAGACGAUCACCAAACAGGAAGUCUGCGGUCUUGCAGUUCUUCAGACUGCUUUAAUAAAGUGAUGCCACCAAGGAAAAAGAGAAGACCUGCCUCUGGAGAUGAUUUAUCUGCCAAGAAAAGUAGACAUGAUAGCAUGUAUAGAAAAUAUGAUUCAACUAGAAUAAAGACUGAAGAAGAAGCCUUUUCAAGUAAAAGGUGCUUAGAAUGGUUCUAUGAAUAUGCAGGAACUGAUGAUGUUGUAGGCCCUGAAGGCAUGGAGAAAUUUUGUGAAGACAUUGGUGUUGAACCAGAAAACGUAGUUAUGCUUGUCCUAGCUUGGAAAUUGGAUGCACAAAACAUGGGUUAUUUUACUCUGCAGGAGUGGUUGAAAGGAAUGACUUCUCUCCAAUGUGAUACAACAGAAAAACUCAGAAAUACUUUGGAUUACUUAAGAUCAUUCUUAAAUGAUUCUACAAACUUUAAACUUAUUUACAGAUAUGCGUUUGACUUUGCACGGGAAAAGGACCAGCGCAGCCUAGACAUAAACACUGCCAAGUGCAUGUUGGGACUGUUAUUAGGAAAAAUCUGGCCCCUUUUUCCAGUUUUUCACCAAUUCUUAGAGCAAUCAAAAUACAAAGUUAUUAAUAAAGACCAGUGGUGCAAUGUCCUAGAGUUUAGCAGAACAAUUAAUCUUGACCUCAGCAACUAUGAUGAAGAUGGAGCAUGGCCAGUUUUGUUGGACGAGUUUGUGGAAUGGUAUAAAGACAAACAGAUGUCCUAGGACUUUAUGCAUAGCAGCGAGAGAGUCACUGUUACCACAGUUAUGUCACCCAUUAGCCAUAAAUUGCUGUUUGUAUCAAAGCGCAUGCUGCUUUUCUUGCACUGUUUCCCUUUCGCAGGAACAUGUUGGUGUUUGCUAUUGAAUUGGCCAGCUCUGCUUGCUGUGUGGCAUUGUUCUCUUUGAAGGCUGCUUUGCAGUUUGUAUUUACACUACAGAUUGGUGAAUUUGCCAAUGUCCUCACUGUGAUUAUGUGUAUAUUGCUGUUUAAAUUUUGUAUAUGUGUAUAAAAGGAAAAAUCUUCACCUAGAGAUUAUUUCUGAAAAAUGUAUUGUAAAAAUAAUUUUGUGGCAUUUCUAGUCCCUUUUUUGAAUGAACCAAUUAUACUUUAUUUGGUCUCCUAUGUAGCAUAUCAGAAAACACGACAAAACUGUUACCAUGAACAAACAUUGCCAGAAUUAACCUUACUGUUUAAGAGGCCAACUUCUGGAAGGAGAACAGAUGUGUAAAUUUUUUCUUCUCUUCUGGCUUUCUCUUCAAAAACCAUUUAAGGUAAUCUUUAAAGCAUUUUUCAUCCUUUGUUGUUUGUUUUUUCCAAUUUUCUAUUGAAAAUUUCCAAAGCUACAAUAAUAUAAUGAACAUCUGUGUACCUGUCACUUAGAUUUUUCAGUUGUUAACAUUUUACCGUAUUUCCUGCCUUACUCUUGUGCUAUACAUGUGUGUGUACUUCUCACUUUCUGUAAAUAGAUUCUGAAAAUAAAUUAUAUUAUGACACUUCACACCUGAUAUUUUGGAAUAAGGGCAUUCUCCUAUGAUGCAUGAUACAAUGAUACAAUGAUCAUGCUCAAGAAGUUUAAUGGUGGUACAAUACUAUAAUAAACUGUGCAGAUUUAAAUAUCCCCAUUUGUACCAGUCAUGGUCUUGAUAGCUGUUAUCUUUUUAAUCCAGGGAUAAGCAUUGUAUUUAGUUGUUACACCUCUUUAGUCUCUUCCAAUAUAGAAACAGUAUUUUAAAUGUUUUGAUUAAAGAUAGUGCAGUCACUCCUCAGCCAAAUCGUGAUUUUCUAAAAACCCACCGUGUUUUGUGUAUUUUUACAUAUUGAGCUAAGAAGAAUUAAGCACAUACUGUGGGCCACAAGCCAGGCAGGAAUGACCACUUUUACUGCCCUCAAGGCUGCCACCCAGUUGAUCUGUAAGUGUGUAUUAGCCCUGGCUACCCCUUUCUAAAAUUGUCUUACACUAUACUAGAAUGUAAGCUUUCUGAGGGAGGACCUCUGGCCAGGUAGUGGAUGGCCAGAAAAUGGAAGGAAGCAGAUAACAGAAUUUCCUCUCUGGGGAAAGAAUUGUCAGGACCUAAGAAACAUGUAAAGAUUAGAAAAUCCAAGAAUAAAUCGAGGAUAAUUUUGAUUUUUAUAAGCUUGAAAGCAAGAGAGAGGAAGUAGAAAAUAAGAUUCCUUAGAAUCCAGGUGCACACUGUUAAAAUUGUCAAUGUGGAUGAUUCUUUAAACCAUAAUUUGGGCCAAAAGCUGAGCAUCACGCCAAGAAAAUACCUCUGCUUCUAGACAUCAAGAGAGGUGAAGAUAAAGGAAAAAGCUUAAUGCCAAAUUGAUAGGAGUGAGAGGCAACAAACCUUAGGACAGGGAAUUCUUAACUUGUGGCAGAGCAAACAGUAGAAACUCAUGAGACAUGUUAUCCAGUAAUAGAAAAUAGGAACAUGAGAUUUAUUCCACUGGACAGUACUAGGGCUCUACAUGUAUAUUCAUGGGAAUUGAAAUAAAGUUCUCCGGUGUAAUUGGAACAAGAUAGACUGAGGAGAGAGUAAACCACGAAUGCUGGCUCAAGACAAAAAACCCAGCAGAGAUGCAUUGCAGACAUACCCAUGACGGAAAAACUUACACAAGAUCACUCUAAAGGAAAGACAUUGUUAAGCCCUUUGAAAUGAUGGGGUGGAGAGGAAAGUGAACUGAAAAAAUGAAAAACACCCACAGGAAGAAAUUGAAGACGAUUGAGUCAACCCCAGGGCUACCGAAGUGAGGAAGAAAGUUGGCUGUUUCCAGACAGUGACUUUCUUAAUUUGUUGAGCAUACAUGAAGGCAGGACAUGCUUUUUCUAUGGUAGCUGGUUGCAUCAAAUAGAAAUGAGUUAUUGGAAUGUUACCUCCAAAUCCUUACAUGAAGAGUAAGCAAAAGAUGAAAGCUUUUGAUUCCUUUACAAAAGAAUUGCUUUUGGGACUUUACUAUAGCUAGAAAAAAAAAAAACCUAUCACGCGAGGAAAUAACACAUCAAGCCUUCUGGCCCGGUAAGGCAGAAGGUAAUUCAAAAUCGGCAUGUUCACCACUUUUGGCAUGUUCAGCAGAAAAAUGUUUAGCUUUUUCUCUGCCAGAAUUUGUUCCUAGCAUUUAUUUCCAGUUGCCUUAACAAAAAAUAAAAUCAUCCCAUGUAUAUAAGUACUUGCUUAGAAAUCAUGGUGAAUUAGUACGUAGGCUAUGCUGAGAAUAAUAAUUGGAAACUGAAAAACAAAGAUCGACUAUAGUAAUUAAAUGGAAACUUUAAAAACCAUCAUUUAAAAUGUGAAUCUCUUCUCCAAUAAGUGUAUUCGGUCCUUUGAAAGAAAUUCCUUUGCAAUCACUCUCUGAAGAAUAUAGAUUGUAAAGAAUCCUGGCUGUGAGAAAGGAAGCUGAAAAGGGUUUGUUUUUCCCUCUGACACUUUGCAGCAGAGACAUCUCAGAACUACCUAAGUGUGAAUAUCUAAAAUUACAAACUAGUGUUCUCUAGAAAUCUUAGGAUACAUGUAUGAUGGUAUAGAAAGCUACAGCUGUACUCAUUACCAGUGAAAUAACUCAUGAAAAAGUUUUGGGCCAACUUUCAAUAGCAUGUUGAAAGUCAUUGCAUUUUCUUUGUCUCUACUUGCUUAUUGUUCAUUUUAGCUUCAUUACCUGUAGUGACUUCUAUGUAUCCCAUUGUAAGAGUAGGGCCUGGACAAGGUUUGUAAUCCUAUCCCAUUUCCAAAAUUAUUGAAUAAAGUAAUAGAUGCCUUCUA